GGAGUCGGACAGGUCGUCGCCGCGGCCCGCAAGGGCCGGGGAGGAAAGUCCGGGCUCCGCAGGGCAGGGCGCUGGGUAAUGCCCAGGGGGAGUGAUCCCCGGACAGUGCCACAGAAAGCAAACCGCCGAUCCCGGUUCGCCGGGAGGUAAGGGUGAAACGGUGGGGUAAGAGCCCACCAGCGGCCGCGGCGACGCGGUCGGCUCGGCAAACCCCGCCCGGAGCAAGGCCAAAUAGGGGGGCUGACUGGCCCGGUCAAGGCCCCCGGGUAGGCUGCUGGAGGCGUCCGGUAACGGCCGCCCUAGAGGAAUGACGACCGCCCCGCAAGGGGAACAGAACCCGGCUUAUCGUCCGGCUCCCGUU
Molecule: RNase P RNA, 361 nt
Filed under: Desulfovibrio sp.
Lineage: Bacteria; Pseudomonadati; Thermodesulfobacteriota; Desulfovibrionia; Desulfovibrionales; Desulfovibrionaceae
Description: RNase P RNA component class A
Rfam family: Bacterial RNase P class A
About the family: Ribonuclease P (RNase P) is a ubiquitous endoribonuclease, found in archaea, bacteria and eukarya as well as chloroplasts and mitochondria. Its best characterised activity is the generation of mature 5'-ends of tRNAs by cleaving the 5'-leader elements of precursor-tRNAs.
Source: RNAcentral